Rhagoletis zephyria (snowberry fruit fly) is the source of this 228-nucleotide long non-coding RNA. RefSeq lists it as uncharacterized. NCBI's taxonomy places the organism in Eukaryota, Metazoa, Arthropoda, Insecta, Diptera, Tephritidae. The record is from RefSeq and is a predicted model, not a curated record.
UCUAAAUUCGCCAGUAACACCACCUUGUAUAAAUUCGCCUUGGUCGGAGGUGUUAAAAAUGAUUCUCACAAAUACGUGCUGUUGGUGGCAAAGACAUGUGGCAAGCUAGUUCCCACGUUUUUUUUUUUUACAUAUUCGUCGUUCGGUACGAUGAACACGUAGUCACCGCACUUCGCACUCUUACAUAAAAAACACGUAUGCGGCAUUAUUAGUUUGCUCAAAAAACUA